UACGGGGGGGAGCAAGCGUUGUUCGGAUUUACUGGGCGUAAAGGGAGCGUAGGCGGGUUUUUAAGUCAGGUGUUUAAUCCCGGGGCCCAACCCCGGACAGGCACUUGAAACUGGGAAUCUUGAAUAGUGGAGAGGUCAGUGGAAUUGGGGGUGUAGCGGUGGAAUGCGUAGAGAUCCCCAAGAACACCCGUUGCGAAGGCGGCUGACUGGACACAUAUUGACGCUGAGGCUCGAAAGCAUGGGGAGCAAACAGG
RNAcentral lists this ribosomal RNA (254 nucleotides) under uncultured bacterium. RNAcentral's name for it is "partial 16S ribosomal RNA". It matches the Rfam family "Bacterial small subunit ribosomal RNA", at positions 524 to 776 of the family's 1533-position model. The record is from RNAcentral.